Long non-coding RNA from Passer domesticus (house sparrow), 1404 nucleotides. RefSeq lists it as uncharacterized. The record is from RefSeq and is a predicted model, not a curated record. The transcript has 2 exons. NCBI's taxonomy places the organism in Eukaryota, Metazoa, Chordata, Aves, Passeriformes, Passeridae.
AAUCCAGAUACAGGAGGAGAGGAACCUGUUUGAGGUUUGAGAGGACAAUUCUGCCCUCAGUUACACUGUCUUGAACUACAGCAGAUUGGUUAGUAACAAGAUACAGACCUAAUUCUGAUUAUUUUUACACCUGCAAAGCCAAUGAGUAUGGGAGAAGGAGCAGUGCUUUACACUGGCACUGGUGCAACACCAACCACUGCUGCUGUUCAGUGUCCUGGAUAUUUUCUCUGCAAGAUGGUUUCAAACGCUUGAAAAAGAGAGCUGAAAACAAAGAAGUGAAAUACCAGCCUCGUGCAGACUUUAAAAUGAAAAAUAAAGUGUCCAGGAAAUCCCUGCAAGGUUUUGGACUGAACAGGAAGACACAUUACAGAACUUUUUCAACCUUUUUUGAUUUUUUUUCAACUUCAAGCAGCAGAACACCAAAAUGCUAACAGGCAGGGCAAAUUGAGCAAAAAUAAAAUAUUCUGUGGACUGGGUUGGAGAGUAAGGCAGUGUUUAUUUUUUUAUGCUUUACACUUUGGCCAGCAUUUAUCCUGAAUGAAGGCAGCAAAUGUUAUUAGAUUUCAUGGAAUGUAAAUAAACAGUUAUUGGUAAAUACAUUUUGGUGGUCUGCUUGUUACACUGCAUGUCAGGAAAACUAUAGGGAACUGGCAGGAGUUCAGACGUCUUCAAGGAACACAGAAAACAGACAUAUUUUACUAAUUAUAGCUAACAAAAACACUCUGAGAUUACAGUUAAAUUACAUUAAAACAUAACUUGUUGGCAAAGGCUGUGAGCAUAAUGCUUUGCCUAUAUCUUUCUGUAUAAUGUUUCAUUGGAACAGAGCAGAACAUCAGGAAAGCCUGGCACAGCCCGCAGCACCGCGGCCCUCGGGGCUGGGCCAGCUGGGCACCAUGUCCUGCACGAGCUCCUGGAUGUCCAGAGGGGUUCCUACGAGGGCCAUGGCCUGGAUUUGUCUGCAGCAGGGACUGCAGGGGCCAGAUCCCACACCUCCAUCUGCACCUGCACAGGAAGGAGACUGGACUGGCUGUCCUGAUGCCCACGAUGCCCAGGAGCUGCUUGGGGCAUGGCUCUGAGGGGCUCGAGCCCUGCUCACACCUGGGGAGGGUCUUUGGCUGAGCACCCCCUUUGCUGCUCCCCAGCUCCACUCCCACUGCCUGACCCAGCCCGUGGCACUCCUGCUUCAUCACCAGAACAAGCCAUUCCUGCAGGAGCAGAGCCCAGUAGGGAAGGGAGAUCUUUCUGCAGAAAUCAUUAUGUUUUAAUGACGUCCAGGGUUUUCAGAACAAAUGGGCUGUUGUGAGUGAGUCCCCUCCACCACUGCAGCUCUGCAAGGGGCAUGCCUGGACAUCAGUGCAGGGAUCCUUGCAUUACACUGAGUUCAAUUACAAACUGUUCACUUCA